GACAUCUGCUUCUGGGACUGCAACCACCUGGUGUCUGCCACCAUGUGUAGUGUCACCACAUAGCUGUGAUUCUCCAGCCAGCUGAACAUUGACCUGUACACACAUGGGCCAUGAACAUGGUGCUCUUCCCAUGCCUACAGUUCUUCACUGCAGCCUGGACAGUCAGCAAUACAGUGACACUGACAGUGUCCAAUCUCAUACAACAGAUUUUUGAUGCCAAGAACAUAUGACUACCUGUGACCCAUGCCAAGGCCACUGUCUGACUAUGACCAUCUUCUUCCAGGGCUCCAUGUCCAUGAAGGAGGUAGACAUGCAGAUACUGGCCAUCUAGAACAAGAAUGGCAGCUGCUUUGUGGAGUGGAUCUCCAACAAUAUCAAGGUACCCAUGUUCAACGUCCUGCCAGGGGGCCUGAAGGUGGUCUCUGCCUUCUAUCCAGAUGCAAUAGUUCUAACAUCAGAAGUACCAGGAUGCCAAUGUCAAAGACAAAGAAGAGAGUUUUGAAGAUGACAAUGAAGAAGAGAUCAACAAUU
RNAcentral lists this long non-coding RNA (531 nucleotides) under Mus musculus (house mouse). RNAcentral's name for it is "long non-coding RNA chr2:79359864-79360395". The record is from RNAcentral. Lineage: Eukaryota; Metazoa; Chordata; Mammalia; Rodentia; Muridae.